UACGGGGGGGGCAAGCGUUGUUCGGAAUUACUGGGCGUAAAGGGCUCGUAGGUGGCCAACUAAGUCAGACGUGAAAUCCCUCGGCUUAACCGGGGAACUGCGUCUGAUACUGGAAGGCUUGAGAUUGGGAGAGGGAUGCGGAAUUCCAGGUGUAGCGGUGAAAUGCGUAGAUAUCUGGAGGAACACCGGUGGCGAAGGCGGCAUCCUGGACCAACACUGACACUGAGGAGCGAAAGCCAGGGGAGCAAACGGG
RNAcentral lists this ribosomal RNA (253 nucleotides) under uncultured bacterium. RNAcentral's name for it is "partial 16S ribosomal RNA". It matches the Rfam family "Bacterial small subunit ribosomal RNA", at positions 524 to 776 of the family's 1533-position model. The record is from RNAcentral.